Molecule: unclassified non-coding RNA, 218 nt
Filed under: Hevea brasiliensis (rubber tree)
Lineage: Eukaryota; Viridiplantae; Streptophyta; Magnoliopsida; Malpighiales; Euphorbiaceae
Source: RNAcentral
CUUGAAUUUGUUGGCGUGAGUGCAUAUGGGGACCCCUGAUGUGGUGUGCCGCUUGUCAUUUGGUCUAAAUGUACUGCUAGUGAUUCUUCAGCUGUGUAAGUUAGACGAUUAAGUCCAAAAUCAGAGAUGCGUGGUUCCAUGUUCUCUCCAAGCAGAAUAUUGCCAGGCUUUAGAUUUCCAUGGACAUAUUUUUUGGGGCUGAAUUCAUGUAGAAAAGA